CAAGGAAGGACUUUCUGGAAUCUACUUAUCUGACCAAGAAAGCUUCUUUCCAAAAGAAAUGCAAUUGUCUUGAGACUUCUUCCCUAGGGAUCUGAUCAACUAACUGGAAAAAAGCAACCACCGGAGAAGAGACUGUGGGUGUCAUUGUGACUGGCUGCUACCUCCCCAUGAGUCUUCUAAAAUAAAACCUGCAAAUUCACAUCUUCCCCAUGCUUCCAGAGAAUGCAUAUUCUUCCUUUGAAAAAAGAAAACCAGGUAGUCGUACAGUGUCCAGAAGGCAAAAGGACAAGUAUGCACUGCCCUGCUGACCUACUUUCCACACUGCUGCACAGGAAAAUCUGACAGAGGACAAUGACAAACGUCUCACCAGCUCAUGUGUUCUUUUUUGAUCUUAAUUCCGAGAGACUCACCAAAGACAUGAAGAGAAAACAAACAAUACUUUUCUUAGAAAUAUUGUAAUUGCUGGUAUAUUUGUUGUUCUGGCAUAAGGUAGAAAUUGUCAGGUAAACAUUGCUUCCUUUUGGAUCAAAAAGAAAUUUAACCAAAUAAAUGCAAGAGGUAUGAGGGAAGAUAAUGGGAAAUAAAUGAGAUUUGAGAAAUCA
Molecule: non-coding RNA, 602 nt
Filed under: Pongo abelii (Sumatran orangutan)
Lineage: Eukaryota; Metazoa; Chordata; Mammalia; Primates; Hominidae
Source: RNAcentral